RNAcentral lists this ribosomal RNA (427 nucleotides) under uncultured bacterium. RNAcentral's name for it is "partial 16S ribosomal RNA". It matches the Rfam family "Bacterial small subunit ribosomal RNA", at positions 354 to 796 of the family's 1533-position model. The record is from RNAcentral.
GUGAGGAAUCUUCCACAAUGGGCGAAAGCCUGAUGGAGCAACGCCGCGUGGAGGAUGAAGGUCUUCGGAUUGUAAACUUCUUUUAUGAGUGAAGAAUAUGACGGUAACUCAUGAAUAAGCACCGGCUAACUACGUGCCAGCAGCCGCGGUCAUACGUAGGGUGCAAGCAUUAUCCGGAGUGACUGGGCGUAAAGAGUUGCGUAGGCGGUUAUGUAAGCGAAUAGUGAAACCUGGUGGCUCAACCACACAGACUAUUAUUCGAACUGCAUAACUCGAGAAUGGUAGAGGUAACUGGAAUUUCUUGUGUAGGAGUGAAAUCCGUAGAUAUAAGAAGGAACACCAAUGGCGUAGGCAGGUUACUGGGCCAUUUCUGACGCUAAGGCACGAAAGCGUGGGGAGCGAACCGGAUUAGAAACCCUAGUAGUCC